GGGUGGUUGGUCAGGGUGGAUGGUCAGGGUGGGUGGUCAGGGUGGAUGGUCAGGGUGGAUGGUGAGGGUGUUUGGUCAGGGUGGGUGGUCAGGGUGGAUGGUCAGGGUGGGUGGUCAGGGUGGAUGGGUAGGGUGGUCAGGGUGGAUGGUCAGGAUGGAUGGUCAGGGUGGUUGGUCAGGGUGGGUGGUCAGGGUGGAUAGGGUGGGUGGUUGGUCAGGGUGGGUGGUCAGGGUGGGUGGUCAGGGUGGAUGGGCAGGGUCAGGGUGGAUGGUCAGGGUGGUUGGUCAGGGUGGGUGGU
Oncorhynchus tshawytscha (Chinook salmon) is the source of this 299-nucleotide long non-coding RNA. The record is from Ensembl. Lineage: Eukaryota; Metazoa; Chordata; Actinopteri; Salmoniformes; Salmonidae.